AGUCUGGUGCCAGCAGCCGCGGUAAUACCAGCUCCAGUAGCGUAUAUUAAAGUUGUUGCAGUUAAAAAGCUCGUAGUUGAAAUUCUGUACGGAACGACGUCUUCGGAUGAUCGAGCCGUGCAUCCGCCUGAGCAGCAGGUCGGUACUUUGUUGCCGGUUUGUGAUCAGGCACUUUACCUUGAGCAAAUUAGAGUGUUCCAGGCAGGCGUCAGCCUGAAUAGUCCAGCAUGGAAUAAUAGAAGAGGACUGAAAACCACUGUUGGUGUUGUGGUAAUCAGUAAUGAUUAAUAGGGAUAGUUGGGGGCAUUCGUAUUUAAUUGUCAGAGGUGAAAUUCUAUGAUUUAUUAAAGACGAACCUAUGCGAAAGCAUUUGCCAAGGAUGUUUUCAUUAAUCAAGAACGAAAGUUAAGGGAUCAAAGACGAUCAGAUACCGUCGUAGUCUUAACCAUAAACUAUGCCGACUAGAGAUUGGAGGUGCAACUCCAAGACUCCUUCAGCAUCUUACGAGAAAUCAAAGUCUUCGGGUUCUGGGGGGAGUAUGGUCGCAAGACUGAAACUUAAAGGAAUUGACGGAAGGGCACCACCAGGUGUGGAGCCUGCGGCUUAAUUUGACCCAACACGGGGAAACUUACCAGGUCCAGACAUAGCGAGGAUUGACAGACUGACAGCUCUUUCUUGAUUCUAUGGGUGGUGGUGCAUGGCCGUUCUUAGUUGGUGGAGUGAUUUGUCUGGUUAAUUCCGAUAACGAACGAGACCUCAGCCUGCUAAAUAGUCAGAGUCCGAUUGGGCUUGUGACUUCUUAGAGGGACUGUGGGGGCUACUCCACGGAAGUUUGAGGCAAUAACAGGUCUGUGAUGCCCUUAGAUGUCCUGGGCCGCACGCGCGCUACACUGAUGCAGGCAGCAAGCACCGUGGCAGAAGUGUCUCGGAAAACUACAAACUGCAUCGUGCUGGGGAUUGACUCUUGGAACUCUUGGUCAUAAACGAGGAAUACCUAGUAAACGCAAGUCAUCAGCUUGCAUUGAUUACGUCCCUGCCCUUUGUACACACCGCCCGUCGCUCCUACCGAUUUGAGUGGUGCGGUGAACCCUUCGGACCGGUACGCCGGAAAGUUGAGUAAACCUUACCACUUAGAGGAAGGAGAAGUCGUAACAAGGUA
RNAcentral lists this ribosomal RNA (1159 nucleotides) under metagenome. Its description in RNAcentral is "SSU rRNA". It matches the Rfam family "Eukaryotic small subunit ribosomal RNA", at positions 558 to 1801 of the family's 1831-position model. The record is from RNAcentral.